RNAcentral lists this ribosomal RNA (641 nucleotides) under uncultured bacterium. RNAcentral's name for it is "bacterial SSU rRNA". It matches the Rfam family "Bacterial small subunit ribosomal RNA", at positions 67 to 699 of the family's 1533-position model. The record is from RNAcentral.
GGGCAUCGGGAGGGAAGCUUGCUUUCCUUGCCGGCGACCGGCGCACGGGUGAGUAACACGUAUGCAACCUGCCCUCUUCAGGGGGACAACCUUCCGAAAGGGAGGCUAAUCCCGCGUAUAUCGGUUUCGGGCAUCCGAGAUCGAGGAAAGAUUCAUCGGAAGAGGAUGGGCAUGCGGCGCAUUAGCUAGACGGCGGGGUAACGGCCCACCGUGGCGACGAUGCGUAGGGGUUCUGAGAGGAAGGUCCCCCACACUGGUACUGAGACACGGACCAGACUCCUACGGGAGGCAGCAGUGAGGAAUAUUGGUCAAUGGGAGAGAUCCUGAACCAGCCAAGCCGCGUGAGGGAAGACGGCCCUAUGGGUUGUAAACCUCUUUUGUCGGAGAACAAAACCCGGGACGUGUCCCGGACUGCGUGUAUCCGAAGAAAAAGCAUCGGCUAACUCCGUGCCAGCAGCCGCGGUAAUACGGAGGAUGCGAGCGUUAUCCGGAUUUAUUGGGUUUAAAGGGUGCGUAGGCGGUCCGUUAAGUCAGCGGUAAAAUUGCGGGGCUCAACCCCGUCGAGCCGUUGAAACUGGCAGACUUGAGUUGGCGAGAAGUACGCGGAAUGCGCGGUGUAGCGGUGAAAUGCAUAGAUAUCG